GACGAACGCUGGCGGCGUGCUUAACACAUGCAAGUCGAACGGAAAGGCCCUGCUUUUGUGGGGUGCUCGAGUGGCGAACGGGUGAGUAACACGUGAGUAACCUGCCCUUGACUUUGGGAUAACUUCAGGAAACUGGGGCUAAUACCGGAUAUGAUCUCCUGCUGCAUGGUGUGGGUUGGAAAGUUUCGGCGGUUGGGGAUGUACUCGCGGCUUAUCAGCUUGUUGGUGGGGUAGUGGCUUACCAAGGCUUUGACGGGUAGCCGGCCUGAGAGGGUGACCGGCCACAUUGGGACUGAGAGACGGCCCAGACGCCUACGGGAGGCAGCAGUGGGGAAUAUUGCACAAUGGGCGGAAGCCUGAUGCAGCGACGCCGCGUGCGGGAUGACGGCCUUCGGGUUGUAAACAGCUUUCGACUGUGACGAAGAGUGCGUGACGGUAAUGGGUAAAGAAGCAACGGCUAACUACGUG
This 468-nucleotide ribosomal RNA is filed under the name uncultured bacterium. Its description in RNAcentral is "partial 16S ribosomal RNA". It matches the Rfam family "Bacterial small subunit ribosomal RNA", at positions 28 to 507 of the family's 1533-position model. The record is from RNAcentral.